Molecule: long non-coding RNA, 4806 nt
Organism: Prinia subflava (tawny-flanked prinia)
Lineage: Eukaryota; Metazoa; Chordata; Aves; Passeriformes; Cisticolidae
Exons: 3
Source: RefSeq, a predicted model, not a curated record
CUUUCUGCCCCGCCCCGUCGCCCAUGGGGGGUGCGGUGCGAGGAAGGAGGCGGUGGCGGGGCCGCAGGUCGGGCGAGGCCGGGGCUCUAACAAGGCUCUGGAGAACAGCGUGAGAAUCGACACGACUAGUUGCUCUGCCCACGCCAGCAGCAUGCCCAGGAACCAUAAAUCAGCGAGCUGAAGUCUUUCUUCCAUAUCCAGGAUGUUUUUCACCAGUCUGAUGGGACCUUGUGGGCACAGCCAGGAUCCCGCGACCCGAUCACGCUCUGGCCGGCACUGGGUGAUUUCUCGGGGAGCCCAUUGGCGCCGCGACCCUCGCCGCUCACAAUGACCCCUGGUGAGAGGUAAGGUUCUUUAUUUUCUGGUCUGGGGGCCUGCCAUUAAGACGCAGCGAAAGCUACGCUUAGUUGGGCAAAAGGAAUUCCUGGUGGUAUUGCCUAGGCAGCCGUCCAUCAGACAUCGCGAAAGCGUUGCAGGUUCGGCAUCUGUGGUUUUUAUGUAUCUGUAAUAUGGAGAAACUAAAAGGGUUAAAAGAAGUUUUGGGCAGCAAUAAUGCCUCUAUACCAAGUUCUUCUCCUUUGAGUUGUUUGUUGGCACAUUGGAAAGAGAGGAAUUUUGGUCAGGAAUUACGAAAAGAUAAAUUGAUUGAGUAUUGUAAUGUGAGCUGGCCAAAAUAUGCUCUGCCUGAAAACCAGAGGUGGCCACAGAACAGGUCUUUAGAUGUAAAGGUUAUUAUGCAAUUUAGAUCACUUUGAACACAAGAUGGAAUGGUGGAACAAAUCCCAUACCUUGAUUUAUUUCUAUGCUUGCUCAAGAAACAAGUUUAGUGGGUUGGCAGCAAAAUGGAAGCAGUGAAGCUUGGAAAUAAUAAGUGUCUGGCUUGCAUCCAAAAUAAGCAUUGUAUGCAGCAUGCGGUUUUAAGUGAAACUUUGGGAGGAGGAAGAGAUGAACUGGACCUGGAUUUAUUAGUAGCCCCUAUAGCCCCUGGAUCCACCACAGCCCCCUCGACACCGAGUUCUACCCCGCUCACCCUGACCCCACCUGAUUCUCUUACAUCCCCCUUGCUCACGCCAACACAAUAUGUUUCCCCCCCUACCUUUGUCUGCUAAAGGUAAUUAUCCUCCUCUGCCUAUUCCUGUCCCUCCUCCGCCUGCUCGGGUGCCUGCCCCUGCUCCACCUGCUCAGAGAACCCCCCCUUUUCCACAUAUACCUGCUCAAAGCUAUCCUGCCCCCCUGCCGACGCCUGCUGAAAGAUUUAUUCCUCCUCCAACACCGGUUCAAGGUUACCCUCCGCUCCCACCUACACCUCCUUUGCCAGCUCCUGUCCCAUCCGCCCCCCUGUACCCUCCCCUGCCAGAUUCGCCUGUCCAAGAUGUGAUUGUGAGGCGGAAGCAAAGGGGGGAUGCAGAGAAGACAGAUAGAAUAGAAAGUAGUGACAGUGAAGCAGAUGAGCUAGAUGCCCCAGUAGCUCACCGAACAUGAGGAGAACUGGACCCGGCGUGGCCUAAGGCAGGAAAGCGUAUACUAAAAUCAGGCAAACAAAAGAGAACAAUUAUUGCACCAUUAAGGCAAGGGGUAGGAACUAAUGGACCUGUCUUUGUAAAAGUACCCUUUUCAUCUGCUGAUUUAGUUAUAUGGAAACAAUCAGCUGGAACAUAUAGAGAAAACCUAGAUAAGGUAGCUCGCAUGGUUAAGAUGAUAAUGAAAACUCAGAACCCUGAUUGGGAAGAUAUUCAUGUGAUAUUAGACACUCUGAUGGAUGAGACAGAAAGGGACAUGGUACUUCGGGCAGCGAGAGAAAGAGCUAGAGAAGACAUACGAAAUGGUUUGGUGACAGGGACACUAGAUUACAAUUUUCCCACUGCAGAUCCAGAGUGGGAUGCUAAUGACCCAUCUGGAGUAGAUAUGCUAAGGCUAAAGCGAUAUCAGGAGUGGAUUUCAAUCGGUGUUCAACAAGAAAUACCUAAGAGUAUGAACUGGUCUAAGUUGUAUGAAAUUCGACAGGAAAAGAAAAAAUCUCCCACUGCCUUUCUAGAAAGACUCAAAGAAGCAGCUAGAAGAUAUACUGAUCUUCAGGUAGACAGUGAGGAAGGAAGAACUCAGCUUGCCUUUAUUUUUCUGGGUCAAGCACAGGAGGAUAUUAGGAAAAAGCUACAGAAACUGGAAGGUGAAGAGUUAAGAAACUUGGAUAAACUCCUGGAGGUUGCCUGGAAAGUUUAUAAUAGGGACAGAGAAGUUGCCAAGAAACAGGGGCAAAGCCUUUUGGCAGUUUUACAGAGACAGGGGCGAGGACGUGGUAGAGGAGGUUGUGGCGGUAAUAGAGGUGGCUUUGGCAGAGGUUCUGGUUGGGGGGGGGCUAGGUCUGAACCAGUGUGCGUAUUGUCGAAUGGAGGGACACUGGAAAAGGGAGCGUCCGAGUUGGUUUAGCCAGAAUGGUCAGCCUCAGUUAGACAGCAUGUUUAAUCAGAGUGGUGAGCCUCAGUUGGAUGGUGUAGCCAGGGUCAUGGUCUUACAUGAAAGGGAGCCAGGAUCAAGAGAGCCCACGGUGACUUUGCAUUUAGAAGGAAAAGACGUAGAUUUUCUCAUUGACACGGGAGCAACACUUUCUGUAUUAAAUUACCUUGAGGGGCAAGUCAGGAACAAGUCAGCAGCAGUCAUUGGAGCCACAGGGAAGGAGGACAUACGGCCAUUCCUGCAACCCCUAGAUUUGAGCUUUGAAGAUUAGAUCUUGACCCAUGAAUUCUUAUACAUGCCAGAUUGCCCAACUCCGCUCUUAGGGCGCGAUCUACUGGCAGCACUGGAGGCAGUAAUUACUUUUGAGAAUGGUGAACUUGUAUUGAGAAUACCUGAGUCUAAGACAGGAAGGAUUUUGAUGAUAAAAGAAAAACCAAUUUCUAAUAUUCCUAAGGAAGUAGAGGAUGCAGUAAUUCCCUCUGUCUGGGAAACAGAUGUACCUGGAAAAUUCUAAGUUAGCACAACCGGUACAUGUAGAGUUAAAAGAAGGAGCAAAGGCUGUACGAAUCAAACAAUACCCUAUAAAACCAGAAGCACGACAGGGAAUAGCAAAGACCAUUGAUAAAUUAUUAAAACAUCGAAUUCUAGAGGAAUGUGAAUCAGAAUACAACACCCCAAUAUUCCCAGUAAAGAAACCCAAUGGUGAGUAUAGACUUGUACAGGAUUUAAGAGGCAUAAAUGAAAUAACCAAAGACACUCAUCCAGUGGUUGCCAAUCCCUAUACAUUGUUAGCAUCCGUAAAAGAGAUAUAUAAAUGGUUUACUGUAAUUGACUUAAAAGAUGCCUUUUUCUGCAUACCCCUUGACCAAGAAAGUAGGAAACUAUUUGCCUUUGAGUGGGAACAUCCAGAAAAUGGAAGAAAAACCCAGCUCACCUAGACCCGACUUCCAAUGGGGUACAAGAACUCACCCACCUUAUUUGGGAGUCAACUGGCAAAGGAACUGGAAAUCUGGACCAGAGAAGGGCAAGUACCGAGAGACCAAUAUCUAUUACUCCAGUAUGUAGAUGACAUUUUGAUUGCAACAGAGGAAGAAAUGACCUGCAUAAAAGUAACCAUUGAGAUUUUAAAUUCAUUAGGAAUGGGAGGGUAUAAAGUGUCCAGAGAAAAGGCACAGAUUUCCCAACAGACUGUGAUUUACCUGGGAUGUGAAAUCUCACAAGGGCAGAGAAAACUGGGUACUAAUUGUAUUCAAGCUAUCUAUGCUAUUCCAGAGCCCCAGAAUCUACACGAGCUGCGGAUCUUCCUUGGAAUGACAAGGUGGUGUCGCUUGUGGAUCAAGGACUAUGGACUGAUUGCAAAACCCUUGUAUGAAGCUCAGAAGGCGCAGCCAUUCACCUGGGGCAAACCACAGAAAGAAGCCUUCCAGAAGUUAAAAGAAGCAUUGACAACUGCUCCUGCUUUGGGGUUACCUGAUCUGUCUAAAGACUUUCAGCUGUACGUGCAUGAAAGGCAGCAACUGGCACUGGGAGUCCUGACCCAAUGACUGGGAAGCUGGAAAAGGCCGGUGGGUUACUUUUCCAAACAACUUGACAACGUAAGUGCCGGAUGGCCUUUAUGUCUGUGGGCAGUGGCAGCUACUGUGCUGCUGAUACAGGAAGCCAGGAAGCUCAUGAUGGGAAGACACAUAGAUGUCUAUGUGCCACACAUGGUAACUACAGUCCUGGAACAAAAGAGGGGCCAUUGGCUCUCUCCAAGCCGGAUGAUGAAAUUUCAGGUAACCCUGACUGAGCAGGAUGACGUUGCACUAAAAACAACUAACCUCUUGAAUCCAGCUCUGUUUCUAGGUGCCACAGGUGAGGAAGGUCCAUUAGAGCAUGACUGUCUAGAAGUAAUCGAGCACACCUAUUCAGCAAGAACAGAUUUGAAGGAUGUCCCCCUGGAGCAACCAGAGUGGGAACUCUUUACAGAUGGAAGCAGCUUAAUGGAAAACGGAACCAGAUACGCAAGAUAUGCAGUAACUACAAUUGAUGUAGUAAUAGAGGCAAAAGCACUACCACCUAAUACAUCUGCACAAAGGGCAGAACUAAUCACAUUAGCCAGAGCACUAGAGCUGAGGAGAAAACAGUAAAUAUAUAGACUGACUCCAAAUAUGCCUUCGGAGUAGUGCAUGUACACGGAGCUUUAUGGAAAGAAAGAGGACUGCUGUCCUCCCAAGGUACAAAUAUUAAACAUCAAGAUGCGGUCCUACAACUGAUAGAUGCAGUACAAAAACCUGAACAAGUAGCAAUUAUGCACUGCAAAGCACAUCAAUCAGGCAACUCCAAAAUUUGUGAAGGAAAUCGAAGAGCAGA